Molecule: non-coding RNA, 70 nt
Organism: Megalops atlanticus (tarpon)
Lineage: Eukaryota; Metazoa; Chordata; Actinopteri; Elopiformes; Megalopidae
Source: the annotation of a GenBank genome assembly
GGCAGUGUGGCAUAGUGGUAAGGUUUAGGGCUCAUAGCUGAAAGGUUGCUGGUUCGAUUCCCCGCUGGGG